AAUGAACGUUGGCGGCGUGGAUUAGGCAUGCAAGUCGCACGAGAAACCAAUUAGCUUGCUAUGAGGUGGACAGUGGCGAAAGGGAGAGUAACGCGUGGUUACAUGCCCUCGAGACCGGGAUAGUGUCGGGAAACUGGCAGUAAUACCGGAUAACAUCUUCGGAUCAAAUGGUGUGAUUCCGCUCGAGGAUUGGACCGCGUACUAUUAGCUUGUUGGUGAGGUAAUGGCUCACCAAGGCUGCGAUGGUUACCGGGUGUGAGAGCAUGGCCCGGCUCACUGGGACUGAGACACUGCCCAGACAUCUACGGAUGGCUGCAGUCGAGAAUCUUCGGCAAUGGACGAAAGUCUGACCGAGCGACGCCGCGUGCGGGAUGAAGGCCCUCGGGUUGUAAACCGCUGUCAGUUAGGAGGAAAUCCCAUAGGGUUCUCUCUAUGGGUUGACCGAUUUUCAGAGGAAGGACGGGCUAAGUUCGUGCCAGCAGCCGCCGCGGUAACAC
RNAcentral lists this ribosomal RNA (497 nucleotides) under uncultured bacterium. Its description in RNAcentral is "bacterial SSU rRNA". It matches the Rfam family "Bacterial small subunit ribosomal RNA", at positions 29 to 526 of the family's 1533-position model. The record is from RNAcentral.